GAUGAAGAACGUAGCGAAAUGCGAUACUUGGUGUGAAUUGCAGAAUCCCAUGAACCAUCGAGUCUUUGAACGCAAGUUGCGCCUCAAGCCAUUAGGUUGAGGGCACGUCUGCCUGGGCGUCACAUAUCGUUGCCUGAUGCCAGUUUCCUCGUGAUGGGUGACUGUGCAGGGCGAAUGAUGGCUUCCCGUGAGCAUUGUUGCCUCAUGGUUGGUUGAAAAUUGAGUCCUUGGUAGGGAGCGCCGUGAUAGAUGGUGGUUGAGUGACGAACGAGACCCAAUCAUGUGAGACCCCUACCGAAUUUGGCCUUCAUGACCCACAUGCGUCUUUGGAACGCUCAUGACGAGACCUCAGGUCAGGCGGGGCUACCCGCUGAGUUUAAGCAUAUCAAUAAGCGGAGGA
This 400-nucleotide unclassified non-coding RNA is filed under the name soil metagenome. Its description in RNAcentral is "partial contains 5.8S ribosomal RNA, internal transcribed spacer 2, and large subunit ribosomal RNA". The stretch from base 1 to 122 matches the Rfam family "5.8S ribosomal RNA", at positions 35 to 154 of the family's 154-position model. The record is from RNAcentral.